Molecule: ribosomal RNA, 856 nt
Filed under: fungal endophyte
Lineage: Eukaryota; Fungi
Description: eukaryotic LSU rRNA
Rfam family: Eukaryotic large subunit ribosomal RNA (bases 497-856)
Source: RNAcentral
CAUUAAAGAGUUCUAUAACUCCCAAACCCAUGUGAACAUACCUAACGUUGCCUCGGCAGGUCGCACCUACCUUGUAGCACCCUACCCUGUAGGGCCUACCCGGGAGGUGCGGGUAAGCCUGCCGGCGGCCCACCAAACUCUGUUUGAUAUUGAAUUCUGAACCUAUAACUAAAUAAGUUAAAACUUUCAACAACGGAUCUCUUGGUUCUGGCAUCGAUGAAGAACGCAGCGAAAUGCGAUAAGUAAUGUGAAUUGCAGAAUUCAGUGAAUCAUCGAAUCUUUGAACGCAUAUUGCGCCCAUUAGUAUUCUAGUGGGCAGGACCGUUCGAGCGUCAUUUCAACCCUUAAGCCUUCGUUGCUUAGUGUUGGGAGCCUACGGCAACGUAGCUCCUCAAAGUUAGUGGCGGAGUUGGUUCACACUCUAGACGUAGUAAUUUUUUAUCUCGCCUAUUAGUUGGACUAAUCCCCUGCCGUAAAACCCCCAAUUUAUCAAGGUUGACCUCGAAUCGGUUCAGACAAACUCGCUAAAUUGAAGCAUCUUAGUCAGCGAAGGAAAAGAAACCAACAGGGAUUGCCCUAGUAACGGCGAGUGAAGCGGCAACAGCUCAAAUUUGAAAUCUGGCCCUCGGGUCCGAGUUGUAAUUUGUAGAGGAUGCUUUUGGCGCGGUGCCUUCCGAGUUCCCUGGAACGGGACGCCUUAGAGGGUGAGAGCCCCGUACGGUUGGACACCAAGCCUCUGUAAAGCUCCUUCGACGAGUCGAGUAGCUUGGGAAUGCUGCUCUAAAUGGGAGGUAAAUUUCUUCUAAAGCUAAAUAUUGGCCAGAGACCGAUAGCGCACAAGUAGAGUGAUCGAAAG